RNA transcript from Zeugodacus cucurbitae (melon fly), 4665 nucleotides. It is a transcript of the gene named serine/threonine-protein phosphatase 6 regulatory subunit 3, with no coding region annotated. The record is from RefSeq and is a predicted model, not a curated record. The transcript has 14 exons. NCBI's taxonomy places the organism in Eukaryota, Metazoa, Arthropoda, Insecta, Diptera, Tephritidae.
AAAUGACAGUUGCGUUGAAAUGGUGUGCAAAAGACAGAAAAUAGCCAUAACGAAAGUGAAUAUAAUGGAAGGCGAAAAAGUGAAGUGUCAAAUGUGAAAACUUUGCAAAGGAACGAAAUAUUUCGCCGUGGCGACAUUAUAGUUGCAAAUUUCCUAAUGAAGCCGAAAUAAAAUAGUUAAAAACUUUUAAAGAAAAGUAGGCAAACACUCGAAAGUCAUAAUUAACAUCGUUGACCAACUGUUGGAAUUGUGCCAGACGUGUUAAACAAAUACAAUUAUUAAAAAAAAAAAAGAACAGCAUCGUUUUGUAAGCAAAAUAGAGUUUGAAGUAUCAACAAUUAAAUAAACGACGUAGAAAAUAUAAAGUACGUGCAUAAAGAUAUAUAAAAAAAUGUUUUGGGACAAAAGCUAUACACCGUCACAGAAUAUAGAGGCGCUAUUGGAGAAAGAGAAUGCUACUGUUGAGGAAUUUCUAGAUGAUGAUGAUAUCUUACUGGAGUGUAGAUCACAAAAGAAGUCUAUUGUUAAUUAUUUCACUCGACCUGAUGUAAUCAAACGCCUUGUUGAACUUAUUACAACAGAACCUUCUGAGGAUCUACCUUUGGCACAAAGAUAUCGCCAUGCGCAUAUGGCUUGUGAAAUUUUAACGCUCGGUUGGCCGUCCUUAGAUGAAAAACUGUUGUCUGAUGAGGAAAUAUUAAAAACGCUUUAUUCAUAUCUGGAAAAUGAACCACCGUUAAAUCCUUUGCUAUCGUCAUUUUUUAGCAAAACAUUUAGUAUGCUCUUCACAAAAAAGGCUGAACAAGAUUGGUUUUUGAAUCAACAAAUGUGCCUCCAACUCUUGGAAUACAUUAAGUCGCAAAAUAAUUUUUUGGAUUUGAUUUGUAAGCAUUUUUCCACACCCGUUAUACCCGAUUUGAUAAUGCAAAUGAUGAGAGAGGUUGAGGGACAAAUGAAACGGAAUGUAUAUGAAUGGCUCACUGAAGAUAAACUCGUCGAGAGACUGAUUGAAUUAAUUGGCAAUCCUCAAGAAACCGAAAAACAUGCAAAUGUUGCGGAAUUCCUCUGUGAUUUAAUACAACAAGGUCGUUCCAUGCGUUAUACAGAGCAGGAGAAUGACUCUUUUGAGCCCACAUUCGAUGGUUCGAAUCCAAUUUUGAAAUCGAUCGAAAGUGAGCGCAAUGUUGAAGCCUUGUUGAAUGUGAUUUUAGAACCAAACGCGCAUGAAAGCGCCGUCGUAUCAGGAAUAUCGGUUGUACUUAUGCUUUUAAAACCCGUGGUUUUUACUGAUGAACCCAAUUCCGAUCGUAUGAAAUUCAUACAAAAUCGUGAAAAAGAGAUUCGUGAACAAAUACUCUCUACUGUGAUUUGUGUCAUUGCACCGCGUCUUAAAGAUUUCAAUGAGUUACUUAGAAACCCGCCAAAUAAACCAGAAUUAGUGACUACAGCCGCUAAGUUAUCACAGCCGUUUGGCAUGACACGUUUGCAAAUUUGCCGUAUUUUUACAGUAUUAUUGCAGACUAAAAACGAGACAAUUUUAAAAGCUGUCUGUGAAACGGAUUUCUUUGAAACCUUAUUAACCCUCUUCAAGCAAUAUUGUUGGAAUAAUUUUUUGCAUAGCGAAGUUGAAAAGUGUCUUCAAUUAGUAUUUUAUACAAAACUCUCAAAUAACAAUAAUUCAAUGCAAGGCAGUACAAUUGUGAAUGACGGUUCAUUCAAUAAAACGGGAAACACUGCGGAGAAUACAUCGUUUUUCGAUUUCAUUUUCAAGUCUGACAAUAGCAAAGAUGAAAAUUUCGAAGCUAAUGAGGCAAGCAAAGCAAGUGCUGAGAAAGAUGAAAAACCCGUCGAUAAGGAAGAUGUCGAAAUGAAAACUGAUGAACAGAUUGGUGAUGGCAAAGACGAAAACGCAACGGAGGUGAAAACCGAAAAUACUGAAAUUACAGCAAAUGCUAAUGCUAUGGAAACGGAUGAUGGCGCCGUAGAAAAGUUGGCAGAAAACGAAGAAAAACCAACCGCUUCACAUGUUGAUGUGGAACACAAGGAGGGUGAGAUUAACGAGCAGAACAAAACCAAAGCGCAAACCGACAGUGGUCCGUCCGCAUUGCAAAAACACGUUAUUGAAAAUUGUAAGCUGAUUUCGAAAUUAAUUGACUGUUGGAAGUACAACACAGAAAUGGAGUCAGCCGAAAAAGGUCGUCGUCUCGGUUAUAUGGGACAUUUAAUAAAAAUAUUCAAACAUAUUACGAAUAGUAUAUCAGAAUCUGAACAUAUCGGUGCCUUAAUUGAGUGUAAUUUAAGUGAUGAGUUUGAGUUGAAAUUGUGGCAAUCAAUAAUAAAUCCAACUGAUGGUGAUCUAACAAAGGCCUUAGCCACGCAGAGUAAAAUGUUAGCGAAUUGUAAUGCCCACGAGGCGGGCGACUACAGUCCACAUUUAUCAAAAGAUUUUGAUAACAGCACUUGGGAUUAUAUUAUGUCAUCCAAUAUGAUCAACAAUCUUGGCUUCAGUGAUUCCGGUUCAAACGACAUAGUUUUUGCGCUUGAACAUGACAUCUAUCGCAAUAAUCUGCUCGAAAACGAUGAUAACGCCGAAAACGACCUUAAUUUGUUUCAGUUCGGUCGCAAUAUAGACGACGAUGACGAUGAGGAUGAUGAGAACAACGCUGGCGGUGCUGGCAGUGGCGGUGGCGGCGGUACCGGUUCCUCACUCUUCGGCAAGAGUGCUGUUUCAACAUCGGCUUUGCAAGCGUUCGGCGUGACCAACAAUCCGUGGGAUGAUAUGGAUCCAUUCAGCGAUCUAACUGCGAAUAGCAAUGCGACACCGUGGACAGCUGAUUUCAAUUCGGAUAAUUUUGCUGAUUUCGAUUCGCAUUUCAGUUCGUUCGCCAACGAUUUGGGUGAGAGUUUAGUGAGUGCGGCGUCGACAACUGCGACUCCAACUGCUGCGGUUAAAGAGAACAGCAACAACGGUGAUGGCAGCAAUAAUGGCAGUAGCGAUGCUACUGUUGGCGACGAUCACCAACAGCAACGUGCUACCACCGAUAACGGUACAAUUUUGAGUGGCAUCAGCCGCAGCAUUGCGCCAACGGUGGCCAAUAACAAGCCCGAAACGGGUUAUGAUAACAAUGCAAAUGUGGAGAAGAGCAUAACGUUGGUAACGCAGGAGAUUGGUGAAUUUGCUGAUGGCACCGAUGUGGCCGAUGAUGAUUUGGAUGUGUCGCAUGAGAAGGCCUUGGCCACAUCGUUGGUGCGCACGUUGCAAUCGGUGAUGCAGGACUCGGAGGAUGACUAUGAGGAUGAUGAGGGCAUGUGGACUAAGCCGCUGGGCGGCAGUGCUGUGGAUGCGCAUGACGAUGAGAGUGAUGACAGCGAUCACAAAUCGCAUGAGCUGCGUUUCACCAAUGGGCCGAGCAGCAAUGCAGUUCACGCAAAUGAUAAUACACAUAAAUUGUAAGCGCUUCUUUCGUCUCCUUAUUUCACUUUCUUCGAAUGCUCUAUCAUUGAACGCAACAAUGCCUGUGCCAACUCCAACUAUACAAGUAUAUUCAAUAAUAACACAUGCACUCGUUGCCUUACAAGAUUAGAUCAUUGAGUGUAAUUAGGCGCUUUUCUAACGCAGAGAAACAAAACUGAUGAUGAUGAAUCCAGCACAAUUGCAGCGGCGCAUAUCAAUGAUAAUGAAGACAGUGAAAAUGUACAAGUUGCCGCUUCGCUUGGCGAUACAAAACGCACAACAAACAGUUCCAUAUCACUAGACGCCAUCGCUGAUGUGGGCUGCAAUGCCACUGCAGUGGCUAAGACGUCAACGACUAGUAGUAAUGCUGCUGUGGAAAUUGCGCCAACAACAACAUAAACGAAAUUGUGCUGGCACACAACAAACACAUACAAACGAGAGAAAAUGUACACGCGCAUAUAUGUAUGUGUGUGUGUGUCUGUGUGUGUGUGGUAAACGCAAGCACUUACAUACAUACAUACAUACAUAUAAACUUAUACAUAGUAUGCAUAUAUUGAAAUAUAUAUUAUAAACAACAACAUUAAAAAAAAACAGAAAAAAAAAUCGCUCAAAGACAUGCAAAUACACUGCAGCAAAUUGAAAAAACAAAAAAACUUUUGUUGCGUCCAUUUGACGCUUCACGCCAAAGGUUGAGGUACCGCCCAUGUAUAAACUAACUAAUUCAAUCAACGUACAUACAUACAUACAUACAAACAUAUAAACAUACUCAAAGAAAUAUGCACGCAAAUGUACGUACGUCUACAUUGACGCUGCACAAAAUGGUAUUCUUAAAUUAAUUAAAAAUAAAAUAAAAAAAUAGUCAUAUAUAAGAAGCAAAGAAAAACACUAACCCCCCCCAAAAACGCCUAUAAACUGCAAUAUGUUGUGGUGAAAGUAAUAAUAACAACAACAACACUGUCAAAGUCCAUAGUCAAGGAGCGCUUGUACAACGUCUAUGCGGCCUUGGACCAAGUUUCAGCAAACGAAGAAUGAGAUACACCCACAAAAACACACACAUAACACUUCGCAACGAGUUCGUUUGAAACGAUCAACUGCUGCGGUGAUCUGGAAACUAACUUUAUAAUAUUUACAAAAUUAAACCAUGUAAUGUCAACAUGAAAAAGUGGAGUAAUGAAAACGAAAAAUCAUAACGAACUUACAAAAACAAAAAC